CGUAUGUACAUUUUCUGAUUUUUAGCGCUGUUCACCUUUCUAUUUUAUCUAUGAUUCCCCAGUGUCUCUUGUUCGUAUGCUUCAAUGUACCGAGCUUUCGUAUAAAGGAAAGACGAAUUACUGGAAGUCCCAGCGGUGUUUGUGCGGUCGAGUGCCUGAAAACAGUUCCAUACACUAGACGACAAAACAUCGCUGGCCUUUCAACAGUUUACGGGCAGGGCAACAGCUAGAAUCUGCUCCUGCGGCAUCGGUUGGUUGCUGGAGAUGAAGGGCGCAAUUCUCCCCUCUCAGGGAUACACAGAGCCAUUGGGGAGGGAAACAGAGGGCACAAUAUCUCAGAUACUCGCAUUACUGAAGGGGCAAAAUCAGGGUGACUUGGGGGUUGGGGAUUCGGGCCGACU
Molecule: non-coding RNA, 401 nt
Organism: Pelobates cultripes (western spadefoot toad)
Lineage: Eukaryota; Metazoa; Chordata; Amphibia; Anura; Pelobatidae
Source: the annotation of a GenBank genome assembly